RNAcentral lists this long non-coding RNA (596 nucleotides) under Bos taurus (domestic cattle). RNAcentral's name for it is "long non-coding RNA NONBTAT016103". The record is from RNAcentral. Lineage: Eukaryota; Metazoa; Chordata; Mammalia; Artiodactyla; Bovidae.
CUGCAUAAGUUAUUUUUAUUUUAUGAUCUCCUUCAGAGUUUCUUAAAAACAAGGAGUCCUGCAACCUCCAGAAUCAGAAAUGCCUGUGUGUCAGGAAUGGGGGAAGAGUAGGGCCUAGGUUCUGCAUUUUUAAACAAGAGACCGAGUUCUAACACACACUAACAUAAGAGAAACCCGGAGAGGGUACAAGGAGAGGGAAAUGGAAGUGGGUGGGGAGCAGAUAAGAAUAUGCUGAGCCUGAAUCCACAAUGAGCGAGGCCCUGAGUGACUCAUGUCACAGAGGGACAGCUGGUCAGGAAAGGUCUUAGGCAUGGGGCCCAGUGACCCACACCUCUGCCAGGGAUCACAUGGAGAUCCUCAGGGAAGACAGGGAUAAAGAAGCACCAUCCUAUCUUCCCUAGGACAUGAAGAGGUAUAAGGGUGUGCAUGCACGCAAAUCCUGCUUUCUUGGGAGCACACAGCUCAGAUGGAGUUGGGGAGGGGGCUUAUCCACUCCCAAUUCAAAAAGUGAGAGGUAAAUUCAGUUCAAGGAAAAUCCAGUUAAAGACUAGGGAGACACCUGGUGGUCAAAUAAGAAAAAGAGUAACAAAGGCAAU